This 1496-nucleotide ribosomal RNA is filed under the name metagenome. RNAcentral describes it as "bacterial SSU rRNA". It matches the Rfam family "Bacterial small subunit ribosomal RNA". The record is from RNAcentral.
AGAGUUUGAUCCUGGCUCAGAACGAACGCUGGCGGCGUGCUUAACACAUGCAAGUCGAACGCGAAAGUCCGCAAGGAUGAGUAGAGUGGCGCACGGGUGAGUAAUGUAUAGGAACGUACCUUCUGGUGGGGGAUAACCACGGGAAACCAUGGCUAAUACCGCAUGAGAUCGAAAGAUGAAAGGGGGCGAUUGGGUAACCAAGCUCUCGCCGUUAGAGCGGCCUAUUUUCCAUUAGCUAGUUGGCAGGGUAAAAGCCUACCAAGGCGACGAUGGAUAGCUGGUCUGAGAGGACGAUCAGCCACACUGGAACUGAGACACGGUCCAGACUCCUACGUGAGGCAGCAGUGGGGAAUCUUGCACAAUGGGCGAAAGCCUGAUGCAGCAACGCCGCGUGAGUGAAGAAGGCUCUUGGGUCGUAAAGCUCUUUCGGUUGGGAAGAAGGGACAGUGGGUUAAUACCCCAUUGUUUUGACGGUACCAGCAUAAGAAGCACCGGCUAAUUUCGUGCCAGCAGCCGCGGUAAUACGAGAGGUGCAAGCGUUGUUCGGAGUAAUUGGGCGUAAAGCGCACGUAGGUGGGCUUGUAAGUCGGAUGUGAAAUCCCUGGGCUUAACCUAGGAACUGCACCCGAAACUACAAGUCUUGAAUGCUUCAGAGGUUGGUAGAAUUCCUGGUGUAGGAGUGAAAUCCGUAGAUAUCAGGAGGAAUACCGGAGGCGAAGGCGGCCAACUGGGAAUGCAUUGACACUGAGGUGCGAAAGCGUGGGGAGCAAACAGGAUUAGAUACCCUGGUAGUCCACGCCGUAAACUAUGGAUACUAAGUGUUUGGAGAAUUAACCCUCUGAGUACUAUAGCUAACGCGGUAAGUAUCCCGCCUGGGGAGUACAGUCGCAAGGCCGAAACUCAAAGGAAUUGACGGGGGCCCGCACAAGCGGUGGAGUAUGUGGUUUAAUUCGAAGCAACGCGCAGAACCUUACCUACCCUUAACAUCCCGUGCUAGUGCCAGAGAUGGUAUGUUCUCUUCGGAGACGCGGAGAUAGGUGCUGCAUGGCUGUCGUCAGCUCGUGUCGUAAGAUGUCUGGUUAAGUCCAAUAACGAGCGCAACCCUUGUCCUUAGUUACCAUCAUUAAGUUGGGGACUCUAAGGAGACUGCCGGUGUUAAACCGGAGGAAGGCGGGGAUGACGUCAAGUCCUCAUGGCCCUUACGGGUAGGGCUACACACGUACUACAAUGGCAGAAACAGACUGAUGCGAAAUCGCGAGAUGGAGCUAAUCGGUAAAACACUGCCUCAGUUCAGAUUGCAGUCUGCAACUCGACUGCAUGAAGUUGGAAUCGCUAGUAAUCGCUGAUCAGCAAGCAGCGGUGAAUACGUUCCCGGGCCUUGUACACACCGCCCGUCACACCACGAGAGUGGUUAUAACCAGAAGCAGCCGAGCUAACCGCAAGGAGGCAAGCUACCAAGGUUGUAGCCGUGAUUGGGGUGAAGUCGUAACAAGGUA